UGAGGAAUCUUGCGCAAUGGGGGAAACCCUGACGCAGCAACGCCGCGUGAGUGAGGAAGGUCUUCGGGUCGUAAAGCUCUGUCAGGCGGGAAGAAAUGCAUGGAGGUGAACAGCCGCCAUGCUUGACGGUACCGCCAGAGGAAGCACCGGCUAACUCCGUGCCAGCAGCCGCGGUAAUACGGGGGGUGCAAGCGUUGUUCGGAAUCAUUGGGCGUAAAGAGCGUGUAGGCGGCUUGGUAAGUCAGAUGUGAAAGCCCUGGGCUCAAGGGGGGAGGUGCAUGGGGAGGGGCAAGGCGCGAGUGGGGGGGAGGGAGGUGGAAAGGCGGGGGGGGGGGGGACAUGGGUAGAGCGGGGGGGGAACGCGGGGGGGGAAGGCGACGUGCUGGGCCGAUAGGGAGGCUGGGACGCGAGAGAGGGGG
Molecule: ribosomal RNA, 419 nt
Filed under: uncultured bacterium
Lineage: Bacteria
Description: partial 16S ribosomal RNA
Rfam family: Bacterial small subunit ribosomal RNA
Source: RNAcentral